ACUGGGGGGGGCGGGUCCCUCAGCCCAGAUUGCGAGAGGGCAGAGACCAGGCUGAGGGAUCCUACCAGUGCAGG
This 74-nucleotide microRNA precursor is filed under the name Myotis lucifugus (little brown bat). Its description in RNAcentral is "mir-9193 microRNA precursor family". It matches the Rfam family "mir-9193 microRNA precursor family". Lineage: Eukaryota; Metazoa; Chordata; Mammalia; Chiroptera; Vespertilionidae. The record is from Rfam by way of RNAcentral.